RNAcentral lists this ribosomal RNA (355 nucleotides) under uncultured Coriobacteriales bacterium. Its description in RNAcentral is "bacterial SSU rRNA". It matches the Rfam family "Bacterial small subunit ribosomal RNA", at positions 1 to 339 of the family's 1533-position model. Lineage: Bacteria; Bacillati; Actinomycetota; Coriobacteriia; Coriobacteriales. The record is from RNAcentral.
AGUAGUUUGAUCCGUGGCUCGAGGACGAACGCUGGCGGCGUGCUUAACACAUGCAAGUCGAACGGAGAUUAUUCGGAUGAGAGCUUCGGCAGGAUUCAGGAUAAUUUCAGUGGCGGACGGGUGAGUAACGCGUGAGCAACCUGUCCCAGACAGGGGGAUAACACUUGGAAACAGGUGCUAAUACCGCAUAAGACCACGGGAUCACAUGGUUCUGGGGUAAAAGGUGUAAACCGGUUUGGGGUGGGCUCGCGUCCGAUUAGAUAGUUGGUGAGGUAACGGCCCACCAAGUCAACGAUCGGUAGCCGACCUGAGAGGGUGAUCGGCCACAUUGGAACUGAGAGACGGUCCAAACUCC